CAGCGAUGAGGAGAACCAGUUUCACUGACUAACCCUGAUGUGUGAAAUACGCUAUUCUGAGCUAUUA
Molecule: small nucleolar RNA, 67 nt
Organism: Doryrhamphus excisus (bluestripe pipefish)
Lineage: Eukaryota; Metazoa; Chordata; Actinopteri; Syngnathiformes; Syngnathidae
Product: small nucleolar RNA U54
Source: RefSeq, a predicted model, not a curated record